GCGCCUGUAGCUCAGCUGGAUAGAGCAAUAGCCUCCGACGCUAUGUGCCGUGCGUUCGAAUCGCAUCAGGCGUACCA
Molecule: transfer RNA, 77 nt
Filed under: Bacteroides sp.
Lineage: Bacteria; Pseudomonadati; Bacteroidota; Bacteroidia; Bacteroidales; Bacteroidaceae
Also listed under: 10 other names
Description: tRNA-Arg
Rfam family: tRNA
About the family: Transfer RNA (tRNA) molecules are approximately 80 nucleotides in length.
Source: RNAcentral